GCCCCGAUAGCUCAACUGGAUAGAGCAGCGGUCUUCUAAACCGCAGGUUGCAGGUUCGAGUCCUGCUCGGGGUA
RNAcentral lists this transfer RNA (74 nucleotides) under Planctomycetaceae bacterium. RNAcentral describes it as "tRNA-Arg". It matches the Rfam family "tRNA". From Rfam's summary of the family: Transfer RNA (tRNA) molecules are approximately 80 nucleotides in length. Lineage: Bacteria; Pseudomonadati; Planctomycetota; Planctomycetia; Planctomycetales; Planctomycetaceae. The record is from RNAcentral.